GGGUGUUCCCGAGGUUUCAGCUCACUGUGGAAAAGAGCAGAGCAGAGGUUGCCGCGGAAAAGAAAGCUGCAGUAGAGCGGAAGAUGAGUAGAGGGGGCUCUGCCGGCAGGCUGCUGCAGAGGUGGAAGAGACUUCCCCCCUCCAUGCUGCUGCAGCGCAAGCCAAGCUCAAGGCAGCAAGACAUGGCGAAGGAGCCUUCUGCCAGCGCGCUCCCGCCAUGUGCAGGCAGCUCCCGCGGGACGAAGAAAGCAGGACAGAAGGAAGCAUCUACUCCUGCCCAGACCAGCACUGCACUCCCUGCCACAGAGGAGUCUAAGAGGGUGCUGCAGGAGCUCCGGGAAGUGUCUGCAUUGUGGAAAGAAGCAGACCACACGUGGCCCAUGCACAAGCAGCAAGUAGAGCAAGCACAGGCAGAAAGGGCGGCAUGGGAAGGCUGGAGCAUAGGGGCGGACCAGCGUCCACCCCAGCUGCUGGCCAGGCAGAGCAUGCAUGCUCCGCAUCCUCCAGCCCAGCCCAGGGGACAGCAAGUGGAGAGGAGGUGGAGGAAAGAUGUGGAUCCUCUGCCGGGAAGUAAAAUGGGAACAGCAACCAAGCUGGCACUGCAUUCUGAUGCUCGAUGCUCGCGUCGCUCCAGAGGGGAAGGUGCAGCCAAUGGUGGUGACCGCGGUGGAGCUCUCGGCAAGGGGGCUGGGAAGCUGUCCAGAUUUCCACCUGUGAAUGGAAGAUCGUAGAAUCAAAGACUCAUUGAAUGGCCUAGGUUGAAAAGGGCAUUGAAGGUCGUCUAGUUUCAACCCACCUGCUAUGUGCGGGGUCGCCGACCACCAGACUGGGCUGCCCAGAGCCAUAUCCAGCCUGGCAUUGAAUGCCUCCAGGGAUGGGGCAUCCCCCACCUCUCGGCAAGCUGUUCCAGCACGUCACCACCCUCCGCGUGAAGAACUGCUAACAUCUAACCGAACUCUGCCUCCCUUCCACAGUUUAAAACCAUUCCCCCUUGUCCUGUCACUAUCCAGCCUCGUCAACGGCCGUUCC
This 1029-nucleotide long non-coding RNA is filed under the name Phasianus colchicus (ring-necked pheasant). RNAcentral's name for it is "lncRNA (ENSPCLG00000019030.1)". Lineage: Eukaryota; Metazoa; Chordata; Aves; Galliformes; Phasianidae. The record is from RNAcentral.